This 1006-nucleotide long non-coding RNA is filed under the name Heterocephalus glaber (naked mole-rat). RNAcentral describes it as "lncRNA (ENSHGLG00000048382.1)". Lineage: Eukaryota; Metazoa; Chordata; Mammalia; Rodentia; Bathyergidae. The record is from RNAcentral.
AGGAGGGACAGGGAGACAUGAUGCCCCCAGCCCAGGGGACUAGGUGUCCUCUUGCUGCCUCCAGGGGGCCCCAUCCUGGGUCCUUCCCAGGCUCCCUGGGAAUGGAGCUGCAGGUGUGGACAGUGGCCUUGGCUUGCAUCCUGGAGGACACUGAGCGUGGUUAACAGUUUCCCAACUGUGGUCAGGGCCGGGACAUCAAGGACAAGUACUACUCGAAGGCUGCCUGAUCGCUGCCGAUUAGUAAAAACUGCAUGGCACCCUCUUUGUUCCAACCACAGAGAUCACACUGCUGACCGUUUUUGAGCUGAAUUGUAUGUUUUCCAUUGGAAGACAAAAAUCCCAAGGCCUGGCACACAGGAGAUGCCCAAGACCUGGUGCUGCCACCCUUCUCUUCACUCAGUGUGCACCACAGCUGCCCACCAUGCCUGCUGCAGUAAGACCACCACCACCACUGAUCUCGGCCCAGGGCUUGAACACACCCGUAUCACCCAGCCGCUGCUCCAGCUCCUGCAGGAUGCCCUGGUGCAGCGUGUGGAUGGCAGGCAGCCUCGUCCAGGCCCCGCCCGAAGCUCCUCCUGGGCCCGCACAUCCUCCACAUCGUCCAGGGCCUUCGUGACGGCAGAGUGGAAAUCCUGAAACCCGGAAGCCAGUGACCCACAGGCACAGCUGCCCCAGCCUCAGACAGGGCACAUGUGGGCUGUGGGGACCCAGUCCCACGUGCCCACCUAUUGGGACACACCUGCCCAGACCCUGAGCCUGAGCCUGACCUUGACCCUAACCCUGACCUGGACCUAGUGCCCCCUUGGUCCAGCCGUGUGUUGGUGACAGGAGAGUGAGAAACCGGAAAUUUCCUUCCCUAAAGACACACAAACUUCUUCCUUUCAAUUUACUCACUUUGUUUUUUUCAGUCCUAGGGACUGAACCCAAGGCCUUCACCUGAGCUACAGCCACAGCCCUUUUCAAAUUUAGUGACAGGGUCUUAUUUAGUUGCCCAGGCUGGGCUUGA